AAGUCGUAACAAGGUCUCCGUAGGUGAACCUGCGGAGGGAUCAUUACCGAGUUCGUGCCCUCGCGGGUAGAUCUCCCACCCUGUGUCAUAACACGUCGUUGCUUUGGCGGGCCGCCGGGCUCACGCCUGGCCACCGGCUCCGGUUGGUGCGCGCCCGCCAGAGGACCCCCAACCCUGAUUGUCAGUGUCGUCUGAGUACUAUACAAUAGUGAAAACUUUCAACAACGGAUCUCUUGGUUCUG
RNAcentral lists this unclassified non-coding RNA (242 nucleotides) under Hyaloscyphaceae sp. RNAcentral's name for it is "partial contains small subunit ribosomal RNA, internal transcribed spacer 1, and 5.8S ribosomal RNA". The stretch from base 1 to 46 matches the Rfam family "Eukaryotic small subunit ribosomal RNA", at positions 1786 to 1831 of the family's 1831-position model. The record is from RNAcentral. Lineage: Eukaryota; Fungi; Ascomycota; Leotiomycetes; Helotiales; Hyaloscyphaceae.